Molecule: ribosomal RNA, 428 nt
Filed under: Pseudomonadota bacterium
Lineage: Bacteria; Pseudomonadati; Pseudomonadota
Description: Proteobacteria bacterium partial 16S ribosomal RNA
Rfam family: Bacterial small subunit ribosomal RNA
Source: RNAcentral
UGGGGAAUAUUGGACAAUGGGCGAAAGCCUGAUCCAGCCAUGCCGCGUGUGUGAAGAAGGUCUUCGGAUUGUAAAGCACUUUAAGUUGGGAGGAAGGGCAGUAAGCGAAUACCUUGCUGUUUUGACGUUACCGACAGAAUAAGCACCGGCUACUCUGUGCCAGCAGCCGCGGUAAUACAGAGGGUGCAAGCGUUAAUCGGAAUUACUGGGCGUAAAGCGCGCGUAGGUGGUUCGUUAAGUUGAAUGUGAAAGCCCCGGGCUCAACCUGGGAACUGCAUCCAAAACUGGCGAGCUAGAGUAGGGCAGAGGGUGGUGGAAUUUCCUGUGUAGCGGUGAAAUGCGUAGAUAUAGGAAGGAACACCAGUGGCGAAGGCGACCACCUGGGCUCAUACUGACACUGAGGUGCGAAAGCGUGGGGAGCAAACAGG